AUUGAACGCUGGCGGCAGGCCUAACACAUGCAAGUCGAGCGGAUGAAGGGAGCUUGCUCCUGGAUUCAGCGACGGACGGGUGAGUAAUGCCUAGGAAUCUGCCUGGUAGUGGGGGAUAACGUCCGGAAACGGGCGCUAAUACCGCAUACGUCCUGAGGGAGAAAGUGGGGGAUCUUCGGACCUCACGCUAUCAGAUGAGCCUAGGUCGGAUUAGCUAGUUGGUGGGGUAAAGGCCUACCAAGGCGACGAUCCGUAACUGGUCUGAGAGGAUGAUCAGUCACACUGGAACUGAGACACGGUCCAGACUCCUACGGGAGGCAGCAGUGGGGAAUAUUGGACAAUGGGCGAAAGCCUGAUCCAGCCAUGCCGCGUGUGUGAAGAAGGUCUUCGGAUUGUAAAGCACUUUAAGUUGGGAGGAAGGGCAGUAAGUUAAUACCUUGCUGCUUUGACGUUACCAACAGAAUAAGCACCGGCUAACUUCGUG
RNAcentral lists this ribosomal RNA (484 nucleotides) under uncultured bacterium. RNAcentral's name for it is "partial 16S ribosomal RNA". It matches the Rfam family "Bacterial small subunit ribosomal RNA", at positions 30 to 507 of the family's 1533-position model. The record is from RNAcentral.